This 484-nucleotide ribosomal RNA is filed under the name uncultured bacterium. RNAcentral describes it as "partial 16S ribosomal RNA". It matches the Rfam family "Bacterial small subunit ribosomal RNA", at positions 30 to 507 of the family's 1533-position model. The record is from RNAcentral.
AUUGAACGCUGGCGGCAGGCCUAACACAUGCAAGUCGAGCGGAUGAAGGCAGCUUGCUCCUGGAUUCAGCGGCGGACGGGGGAGUAAUGCCUAGGAAUCUGCCUGGCAGUGGGGGAUGACGUCCGGAAACGGGCGCUAAUACCGCAUACGUCCUGAGGCUGAAAGUGGGGGAUCUUCGGAACUCACGCUCUCUGCUGAGCCUAGGCCGGAUUAGCUAGUUGGUGGGGUAAGGGCUUACCAAGGCGACGAUCCGUAACUGGUCUGAGAGGAUGAUCCGGCACACUGGAACUGAGACACGGUCCAGACUCCUACGGGAGGCAGCAGUGGGGAAUAUUGGGCAAUGGUGGAAAGCCUGGUCCAGCCAUGCCGCGUGUGUGAAGAAGGUCUUCGGAUUGUAAAGCACUUUAAGUUGGGAGGAAGGGCAGUAGUUUAAUACCUUGCUGUUUUGACGGUACCAACAGAAUAAGCACCGGCUAACUUCGUG